Molecule: ribosomal RNA, 253 nt
Filed under: uncultured bacterium
Lineage: Bacteria
Description: partial 16S ribosomal RNA
Rfam family: Bacterial small subunit ribosomal RNA
Source: RNAcentral
UACGGAGGGUGCGAGCGUUAAUCGGAAUUACUGGGCAUAAAGCGCGCGUAGGCGGCUCAGUCAGUCGGAGGUGAAAUCCCGCAGCUUAACUGCGGAACUGCCCCCGAUACUGCUGAGCUUGAGUGCAGGAGGGGUGACCGGAACUCCAGGUGGAGCGGUGAAAUGCGUAGAUAUCUGGAGGAACACCAGAGGCGAAGGCGGGUCACUGGACUGCAACUGACGCUGAGGUGCGAAAGCUAGGGGAGCGAACAGG